RNAcentral lists this ribosomal RNA (441 nucleotides) under uncultured bacterium. Its description in RNAcentral is "bacterial SSU rRNA". It matches the Rfam family "Bacterial small subunit ribosomal RNA", at positions 481 to 920 of the family's 1533-position model. The record is from RNAcentral.
GGAGAAGAAGCACCGGCUAACUCCGUGCCAGCAGCCGCGGUAAGUACGGAGGGUGCGAGCGUUAAUCGGAAUUACUGGGCGUAAAGCGCACGUAGGCGGCAAAGUAAGUUGGAUGUGAAAGCCCCAGGCUUAACCUGGGAAUGGCAUUCAAUACUGUUUUGCUAGAGUAUGAUAGAGGAUAGUGGAAUUCCUGGUGUAGCGGUGAAAUGCAUAGAUAUCAGGAGGAACAUCAGUGGCGAAGGCGACUGUCUGGAUCAAUACUGACGCUGAGGAGCGAAAGCGUGGGGAUCAAACAGGAUUAGAUACCCUGGUAGUCCACGCUGUAAACGAUGAGAACUAGCCGUUGGGCACAAAAAGUGCUUAGUGGCGCAGCUAACGCGAUAAGUUCUCCGCCUGGGGAGUACGGUCGCAAGACUAAAACUCAAAGGAAUUGACGGGGGC